AGAGAGAGACAUGCGCGCAUAUCAAUAAGCGGAGGAAAAGAAACUAACUAGGAUUCCCUCAGUAACGGCGAGUGAAGCGGGAAGAGCUCAAAUUUGAAAUCUUCAAGGGUUCUACCUUUACGAAUUGUAGUUUAAAGAAGUGUUUUCUGUUGAGGUUUUGGUAAAAGUUCUUUGGAAUAGGACAUCAUAGAGGGUGAGAAUCCCGUAUUUGACCAUUAUUUCCAGCUUUGUGAUACACUUUCAAAGAGUCGGAUUGUUUGGGAAUGCAGUCCAAAAUGGGUGGUAAAUUUCAUCUAAAGCUAAAUACUGGCGAGAGACCGAUAGCGAACAAGUACCGUGAGGGAAAGAUGAAAAGAACUUUGAAAAGAGAGUUAAACAGUACGUGAAAUUGUCAAAAGGGAAGCGUUUGACACCAGUGUUGUUUUCUCGAAAAUCAAUUAAAAAAGGCAGGAUUUUGUGUUGUAUUGACUUUAUCAGCUUUCUGCACUCUUUUCUUGUCUUUUUUUAAUGCACUUUUCGUUUAACAAGUCAACAUCAAUUUCUUUUGUUGUAAAAGGGUCAUUGGAAGGUGGCUUUCUUUUCGGAGAAAGUGUUUAUAGCCUUUGGCCUCUGCAAUCGGAGAGAUUGAGGUCUGCAGCGUAGAUCCUUCGGGGUUAGAUACAUUUGUGCUAAGUUAUAGCCUUUCAUAGACAACUUGUUGACUAUGAUCAGUCAUGUAGCUUACUCGCUUAUGUUAUUUUACCUACGCUUAGGAUGUUGAUGUGAUACUGCGAGC
RNAcentral lists this ribosomal RNA (775 nucleotides) under uncultured Neocallimastigales. RNAcentral's name for it is "partial large subunit ribosomal RNA". It matches the Rfam family "Eukaryotic large subunit ribosomal RNA", at positions 23 to 645 of the family's 3401-position model. The record is from RNAcentral. Lineage: Eukaryota; Fungi; Neocallimastigomycota; Neocallimastigomycetes; Neocallimastigales.